ACUUGAAUAUUAAUAGCUACGAUCUUUAAAUUCAAAGAAUUUGGCGGUAUUUUAGUCUUGUUAGAGGAACCUGUUCUGUAAAUGAUACAGCACGAAGAAUCUUACUUACUUUUGUUUUACAGUUUGUAUACCGUCAUUAUUAGAUAACCUUUAUUGGGUUAAGUUAUUGAAAUUUAAGAAGUUAAAGUAUAUUAGAUCAAGGUGCAGCUUAUAGGUGAGAAGAAAUGGGUUACAAUAAAAUUUAUUUAUACGUAUCAGUGGUUGAAUAAUUUCUGUGAAGGAGGAUUUAAUUGUAACAUGUAAUUUAGUAAGUUGGUGUGGUAUGAGAACUAAAAUAUGUACAUAU
Molecule: ribosomal RNA, 346 nt
Filed under: Cherax sp. n. 3 RE-2014
Lineage: Eukaryota; Metazoa; Arthropoda; Malacostraca; Decapoda; Parastacidae
Description: partial 12S ribosomal RNA
Source: RNAcentral